UGAAUAUAGUUUAUUAAAAUUCUAGUCCGUGAAUCUAGAGAUGAGAGUUAAAAACU
This 56-nucleotide transfer RNA is filed under the name Cyclorana novaehollandiae (New Holland frog). RNAcentral's name for it is "Ranoidea novaehollandiae tRNA-His". The record is from RNAcentral. Lineage: Eukaryota; Metazoa; Chordata; Amphibia; Anura; Pelodryadidae.